Molecule: ribosomal RNA, 495 nt
Filed under: uncultured bacterium
Lineage: Bacteria
Description: bacterial SSU rRNA
Rfam family: Bacterial small subunit ribosomal RNA
Source: RNAcentral
AUCCUGGCUCAGAUUGAACGCUGGCGGCAUGCCUUACACAUGCAAGUCGAACGGCAGCACGGGGCAACCUGGUGGCGAGUGGCGAACGGGUGAGUAAUGCAUCGGAACGUGCCAUUGAGUGGGGGAUAACGUAGCGAAAGUUGCGCUAAUACCGCAUAUUCUGUGAGCAGGAAAGCAGGGGACCGCAAGGCCUUGCGCUCUUUGAGCGGCCGAUGUCAGAUUAGCUAGUUGGUGAGGUAACGGCUUACCAAGGCGACGAUCUGUAGCGGGGUCUGAGAGGAUGAUCCGCCACACUGGAACUGAGACACGGUCCAGACUCCUACGGGAGGCAGCAGUGGGGAAUUUUGGACAAUGGGCGCAAGCCUGAUCCAGCCAUGCCGCGUGAGUGAAGAAGGCCUUCGGGUUGUAAAGCUCUUUCGGCCGGGAAGAAAUCGCAUGGGUUAAUACCCUGUGUGGAUGACGGUACCGGAAUAAGAAGCACCGGCUAACUACGUG